This 546-nucleotide ribosomal RNA is filed under the name Streptomyces sp. RNAcentral's name for it is "bacterial SSU rRNA". It matches the Rfam family "Bacterial small subunit ribosomal RNA", at positions 345 to 901 of the family's 1533-position model. Lineage: Bacteria; Bacillati; Actinomycetota; Actinomycetes; Kitasatosporales; Streptomycetaceae. The record is from RNAcentral.
GAGGCAGCAGUGGGGAAUAUUGCACAAUGGGCGCAAGCCUGAUGCAGCGACGCCGCGUGAGGGAUGACGGCCUUCGGGUUGUAAACCUCUUUCAGCAGGGAAGAAGCGAAAGUGACGGUACCUGCAGAAGAAGCGCCGGCUAACUACGUGCCAGCAGCCGCGGUAAUACGUAGGGCGCAAGCGUUGUCCGGAAUUAUUGGGCGUAAAGAGCUCGUAGGCGGCUUGUCGCGUCGGUUGUGAAAGCCCGGGGCUUAACCCCGGGUCUGCAGUCGAUACGGGCAGGCUAGAGUUCGGUAGGGGAGAUCGGAAUUCCUGGUGUAGCGGUGAAAUGCGCAGAUAUCAGGAGGAACACCGGUGGCGAAGGCGGAUCUCUGGGCCGAUACUGACGCUGAGGAGCGAAAGCGUGGGGAGCGAACAGGAUUAGAUACCCUGGUAGUCCACGCCGUAAACGGUGGGCACUAGGUGUGGGCAACAUUCCACGUUGUCCGUGCCGCAGCUAACGCAUUAAGUGCCCCGCCUGGGGAGUACGGCCGCAAGGCUAAAACU